CAAAAGAGAAGAAAGUGGGGAAUGUGUAAGAAACUGAUGUGAAUUUUGAAUCAUCAAAAACCCUAAGACAGGGAUCUUAAAAAAACCCUUUUUCCUAACUAUGAAUGAUUCUGAUGAUGAAACUCCAUACCCUUCAAGACCCAACGCUGCCAUUUACACUUCUUCUCUUCGAUUAAGACGCUCAAUUCGAAACCCUACCUCUUAUCCAAGAAAUACCCAUUAUGGGUAUAAUAAUAAUGAAUUUCAAUAUAACCAUCAUGGUGCUGCUGAUGAUGAUGAAUCUGAAGAUGAAGAAGAAAAUCAAGAAUUUAGCAGUGGAGAAAAUGAUGUUGAUAAUUUUCAAGGUAAAAAGAAGAGAAAGUUGGAAACUUUAGUUUCAAAUUACAAUUUUGCCCCUCGUCCAGGUUCAAAGGAAAUUUGGAGUGAAGAGGAGAGUUUUGUGUUGUUGGAAGUGUGGGGUGAGAGGUAUUUGGAGCUCGGACGGAGGAGCUUACGUGCUGAAGAUUGGGGUGAAGUUGCAGAGAAGGUAACAGAAAUGAUUGGUGUUGAUAAAACUGAAGCUGAGUGUAGGAAUCAAUUAGAUGUGCUAAAGAAGAAGUACAAGAAGGAAAUAACAAAAAUGGAGAAAACUGGAGGUGGGUUUCAUAGCAAGUGGACAUUUUUUAAGAAAAUGGAUAUGCUCAUGAAUUUGAGGAUGAAAGGGCAUUGUGGAUUGGGUUGUGGGCUCGAUUCGGGGGAGUAUGUGUUUAUGGACCCACGAAUGUACUUGGAUAGGUCAAAUGUGUUGGAUGAGAUGAGAGAUAGUCCUGCAGGAUCAGAUGCGGAUAAUGAUGAAGAAGAGGAAGAGCAGGGUUCCGGAGGAUGGGAGGGUGAUGAUGCGUCAGCUAAGUUGCUAGCGGAUUCAAUUCAAAGGUUUGGGCAGAUAUAUGAGAAGAUUGAGAAUAGUAAGAGGAAGCAGAUGAUGGAGCUGGAGAAGAUGAGAAGGGAUUUCCAAAGGGAGUUAGAGUUGCAGAAGAAACAGAUAGUUGAGAGGGCACAGCUGGAAAUUGCUAAAAUAAGAGACGAUGGAGAAAAUGAUGAUGAUGAGGACAAUGAAGAUGAGGAUGGCGAAGAUACUCACAAUAUUUCCGGUGAGAAGCUUAGAGGCUGAUGCAGUGUCAAACUAGAGCAUUAUGAAAACUUUGUGGCGUGACUUCUUGGACUAACCUUUUCAGAAUGAAAGAUGAUCACUUACAGCUAAAUCACUGGAAGAUUUUGCAAGGAAGGUUCUCAUUUGAAGUACUGAUUGACUGGAUUCUGGAAUAUCAAGUUAUUCUGCAAAUAUUUAUUUUCCUUUACACUUUUAGCAUGUGGACAAUAACCAAUUUUUCUUGUCAUGUUGAGAUUAUGAGGUUAAUUCAUCCUUAUAGAUUAAUUUCAUAAAAUUUGCUCUUA
Molecule: RNA transcript, 1434 nt
Organism: Solanum stenotomum
Lineage: Eukaryota; Viridiplantae; Streptophyta; Magnoliopsida; Solanales; Solanaceae
Gene name: trihelix transcription factor ASIL2
Exons: 3
Source: RefSeq, a predicted model, not a curated record